RNAcentral lists this unclassified non-coding RNA (234 nucleotides) under Hevea brasiliensis (rubber tree). Lineage: Eukaryota; Viridiplantae; Streptophyta; Magnoliopsida; Malpighiales; Euphorbiaceae. The record is from RNAcentral.
UUCUGCACUAUCAGAUAAGGUUUUCUCAGAGGAACCUUGCUGCUUGUUUUCCUCGGUAACUAAUGAAACAGAUGACGCAUUUUCUGACGAAGCAAUGUUGUCUUGUGUUGCAAGCAUAUGGUCACUACUCAUUUCAUAAUCACUUGGUCCCUCUAGAGAGACUGGGGAGCUAAGGGGAUCCAUUUUAGACGAAUCCUCAUUCCUGUUGGAUGAAGCAAGCACAACCGAAACUUG